RNAcentral lists this ribosomal RNA (497 nucleotides) under uncultured bacterium. Its description in RNAcentral is "partial 16S ribosomal RNA". It matches the Rfam family "Bacterial small subunit ribosomal RNA", at positions 28 to 507 of the family's 1533-position model. The record is from RNAcentral.
GACGAACGCUGGCGGCGUGCUUGAUACAUGCAAGUCGAGCGGAAAGACCAGGUUUUCGUUGUUGUGACGGUAUAGUCGGAUGGGGGAGUAACACGUGACAAAUCUGUCUUUUAGCCUGGGAUUGCUUCGAGAACCGGGAGCCUAUAUCUAAUACUAUAUUGAACCGCAUGGUUCUAUAGUUAAUGACGGACUUUCUUCUACUUAUUGGUGGAUCCGCGCCGCCUUAGCUAGUUGUUAAGGUAACGGUGUCCUAAGGCAACGAUGCGUAGCCGACCUGAGAGGGUGAUCGGCCACACUGGAACUGAGACACGGUCCAGACUCCUACGGGAGGCAGCAGUAGGGAAUCUUCAGCAAUGGGCGAAAGCCGGACGCAGCAACGCCGCGUGAGUGAUGAAGGUCUUCGGCUCGUAAAACUCUGUUAUUAGGGAAGAACAAAUGUGUAAGUAACUAUGCACGUCUUGACGGUACCUAAUCAGAAAGCAACGGCUAACUACGUG